UAAAAAUAAAUAAUAAAAUUUCGUAUAAAAUCGAGAAUGGGCUCGAAAGUUUCUACCAGGUGGCCGUAACCAUCUGACUACGAACCAUAGAUAUGCAUAU
RNAcentral lists this non-coding RNA (100 nucleotides) under Orenia metallireducens. RNAcentral describes it as "Purine riboswitch aptamer". It matches the Rfam family "Purine riboswitch aptamer". Rfam says of the family: Riboswitches are metabolite binding domains within certain messenger RNAs that serve as precision sensors for their corresponding targets. Allosteric rearrangement of mRNA structure is mediated by ligand binding, and this results in modulation of gene expression. The record is from Rfam by way of RNAcentral. Lineage: Bacteria; Bacillati; Bacillota; Clostridia; Halanaerobiales; Halobacteroidaceae. RNAcentral also lists the same sequence under 1 other name.